GACAUAGGUGGCGAACGUUAUCCGGAUUUAUUGGGCGUAAAGAAUGCGUAGAUGGUGGAAUAAGUUAUUGGUCGAGGUCAAGCUCAACUUGGCGGAAGCUGGUAAUACUGUUCUACUUGAGGGCAGGAGAGGUUGGCGGAAUUCUGUGUGGAGCGGUGAAAUGCGUUGAUCUACAGAGGAACACCAAAAAGGGCGAAGGCAGCCAACUAUUCUGAUCCUGACAUUGAGGCAUGAAAGCGUGGGGAGCAAACCGG
This 254-nucleotide ribosomal RNA is filed under the name uncultured bacterium. Its description in RNAcentral is "partial 16S ribosomal RNA". It matches the Rfam family "Bacterial small subunit ribosomal RNA", at positions 524 to 776 of the family's 1533-position model. The record is from RNAcentral.